Molecule: unclassified non-coding RNA, 322 nt
Filed under: Coprinellus micaceus
Lineage: Eukaryota; Fungi; Basidiomycota; Agaricomycetes; Agaricales; Psathyrellaceae
Description: partial internal transcribed spacer region
Rfam family: Eukaryotic small subunit ribosomal RNA (bases 1-46)
Source: RNAcentral
AAGUCGUAACAAGGUUUCCGUAGGUGAACCUGCGGAAGGAUCAUUAACGAAUAACUAUGGUGUCUUGGUUGUAGCUGGCUCCUCGGAGCAUUGUGCACGCCCGCCAUUUUUAUCUAUCCACCUGUGCACCGACUGUAGGUCUGGAUGACUCUCGUGCUCUCUGAGUGCGGAUGCGAGGAUUGCCCUCUUGAGGUGUCUCUCCUCGAAUUUCCAGGCUCUACGUCUUUUUACACACCCCACAAGUAUGAUACAGAAUGUAGUCAAUGGGCUUGAUCGCCUAUAAAACACUAUACAACUUUCAGCAACGGAUCUCUUGGCUCUC